This 67-nucleotide transfer RNA is filed under the name Amblyomma testudinarium. Its description in RNAcentral is "tRNA-His". Lineage: Eukaryota; Metazoa; Arthropoda; Arachnida; Ixodida; Ixodidae. The record is from RNAcentral. RNAcentral also lists the same sequence under 1 other name.
GUUUAAUUAGUUUAUUUAAAAUAAUAAUUUGUGGAAUUAUAGAAGAAAGGUUUUAAAUCAUUAAACA